CAAAUAAUUUUUCAGUGUCCAUA
This 23-nucleotide non-coding RNA is filed under the name Arabidopsis thaliana (thale cress). Lineage: Eukaryota; Viridiplantae; Streptophyta; Magnoliopsida; Brassicales; Brassicaceae. The record is from RNAcentral.